UAGAAGCGCGGAAGUAUCAUCGAUACUUCACUCAAAAAAAAAAAACAAAAAAACCGCGAAGUAGUGAAUCCGCGAUAUAUGAACCGCGAAGUAGCGAGGGAACACUGUAACUGGGUAAACCUACGGGGCAAAUACGGAUAGAAAGUGCUCGUUUGUCAAGAUGAUUAGUUAGACCUUCACUUCUUUCUCAUCUUCUCUAGAUAUUACGACUUGCGAGAGAGGUAAAAUCACCGCAAAAUAUUAUGUCUUCACUGUUCAGAUUCAAACUUAUGCUGUUGCUGUCAGACACUACAAUACUAUGUCUGGCAGGCUGACUGACACAUCCCCUCCCAGACUUGUGCCUGCUAGCAGGAACACUGAGUCACAACGUGAGACAGCCGUAGACAGAACGUAGCUCCGAGCACAGACUUUGUCCUUAGUCAACAGCUGCUGGUUGGCGAUGACUCGUCGCGCCCUUCUCUCAAACUGCUCUCUCUUUUUCUUCUCCCCUCAACCUCUUGUCCUCCCUUUGUAUAUCUCCCGGUAGGGGUAAUGUGCCAUGUUUCCAGGAUGUCCUAUAAACACAGAUGGGACAACACAGACAGCGGUUCACGUGCUCUAGCCCAGAUGUCAACAAAUCACGUGCAGUCCGCAGGUUGCGAGACUCACCAUGACCAGAGCUCGUGCUCACCUGUGUGCAAGCUACGAAAAGACUUCUCGCCAGGUCAAUUCUGUGCAGAGCUGCACGACUGUAAAGCAUCAAACUACACUUUCUAGCAAAGAUAACAGGUUUGGUAAACCAGCUUUUAAAACCAGGUCAGGUCAGCCCAUAAGGUUAUUCCCAUUCCUUCCUUUUCCACCAACCUCACUCCUUGCUUCCCACACCAUAUACUUCAUCAAUUAUCUUCUUUAAUCCCAGACAAAUUCUUUUUCCCUCUUGUCAUCAUUUCAUCAUUUCCAACCUCUUCCCUUCCCACAAACCUUCCAAUAGCCUCCCUAUUUUGCCCUUCUACACAUUUCCUUCACACCAAUUUCCAAACCUUCUCAACUUUUCACCUCUACCUCUCACACUUUGUUACCAUCCAACUCCCUCUCUCUCCUUCCCUUACAAAUCCAACUUUACCCCUUUCUCCACCCCUUUAUUACCUUUUCCUUUCCAUCAAACCUUUCCUAUCUCUUCCUUCCACUUACCACCCCUUCAUUCACCUUCUCUUCCUUCUCAACCCUUACUGCCUUCCAACCUUCCCGACGAGACGGACAAGUGGUGCUCAUGGCAGUUACGGAGUGUGCAACGCUUCACCAUCAGCAUCUGUCUGGUCGCAGACACAGAGCUCGAGGCUGGUAGAUAAGCGUUGGUCCUUGUUAGGCGCUGUUAAGCUCGAGACAGCAGUCCGGCCUAUAGGACGAGAGAGACAUGGGGUGGCACACGUUAG
Long non-coding RNA from Pomacea canaliculata, 1412 nucleotides. RefSeq lists it as uncharacterized. The transcript is spliced from 3 exons. NCBI's taxonomy places the organism in Eukaryota, Metazoa, Mollusca, Gastropoda, Architaenioglossa, Ampullariidae. The record is from RefSeq and is a predicted model, not a curated record.